AGCGAACGCUGGCGGCAGGCCUAACACAUGCAAGUCGAACGAAGUCUUCGGACUUAGUGGCGGACGGGUGAGUAACACGUGGGAACGUGCCUUUAGGUUCGGAAUAACUCAGGGAAACUUGUGCUAAUACCGAAUGUGCCCUUCGGGGGAAAGAUUUGUCGCCUUUAGAGCGGCCCGCGUCUGAUUAGCUAGUUGGUGAGGUAAAGGCUCACCAAGGCGACGAUCAGUAGCUGGUCUGAGAGGAUGAUCAGCCACAUUGGGACUGAGACACGGCCCAAACUCCUACGGGAGGCAGCAGUGGGGAAUCUUGCGCAAUGGGCGAAAGCCUGACGCAGCCAUGCCGCGUGAAUGAUGAAGGUCUUAGGAUUGUAAAAUUCUUUCACCGGGGACGAUAAUGACGGUACCCGGAGAAGAAGCCCCGGCUAACUUCGUGCCAGCAGCCGCCGUAA
RNAcentral lists this ribosomal RNA (449 nucleotides) under uncultured bacterium. RNAcentral describes it as "partial 16S ribosomal RNA". It matches the Rfam family "Bacterial small subunit ribosomal RNA", at positions 29 to 523 of the family's 1533-position model. The record is from RNAcentral.